RNAcentral lists this transfer RNA (66 nucleotides) under Dipodomys ordii (Ord's kangaroo rat). It matches the Rfam family "tRNA". Rfam says of the family: Transfer RNA (tRNA) molecules are approximately 80 nucleotides in length. Their secondary structure includes four short double-helical elements and three loops (D, anti-codon, and T loops). The record is from Rfam by way of RNAcentral. Lineage: Eukaryota; Metazoa; Chordata; Mammalia; Rodentia; Heteromyidae.
GGUUGGCUCAGUGGUAGAGUGCUUGCCUUGCAUGCAUGAGGCCCUGGGUUCAAUUCCUCAGUACCA